AUUGAACGCUGGCGGCAGGCUUAACACAUGCAAGUCGAGCGGGGGAAGGUAGCUUGCUACCGGACCUAGCGGCGGACGGGUGAGUAAUGCUUAGGAAUCUGCCUAUUAGUGGGGGACAACAUCUCGAAAGGGAUGCUAAUACCGCAUACGUCCUACGGGAGAAAGCAGGGGAUCUUCGGACCUUGCGCUAAUAGAUGAGCCUAAGUCGGAUUAGCUAGUUGGUGGGGUAAAGGCCUACCAAGGCGACGAUCUGUAGCGGGUCUGAGAGGAUGAUCCGCCACACUAGGACUGAGACACGGCCCAGACUCCUACGGGAGGCAGCAGUGGGGAAUAUUGGCCAAUGGGGGGAACCCUGAUCCAGCCAUGCCGCGUGUGUGAAGAAGGCCUUAUGGUUGUAAAGCACUUUAAGCGAGGAGGAGGCUACUCUAGUUAAUACCUAGGGAUAGUGGACGUUACUCGCAGAAUAAGCACCGGCUAACUCUGUGCCAGCCGCCGCAGUAA
This 501-nucleotide ribosomal RNA is filed under the name uncultured bacterium. Its description in RNAcentral is "partial 16S ribosomal RNA". It matches the Rfam family "Bacterial small subunit ribosomal RNA", at positions 30 to 523 of the family's 1533-position model. The record is from RNAcentral.